ACACCGGCAGCUCUAGAGGUAGCUGUUUUUAUUGGGCCUAAAGCGUUCGUAGCCGGUUUGAUAAGUCACUGGUGAAAUCCUGUAGCUUAACUGUGGGAAUUGCUGGUGAUACUGUUGAACUUGAGGUCGGGAGAGGUUAGCGGUACUCCCAGGGUAGAGGUGAAAUUCUGUAAUCCUGGGAGGACCACCUGUGGCGAAGGCGGCUAACUGGAACGAACCUGACGGUGAGGGACGAAAGCUAGGGGCGCGAACCGGAUUAGAUACCCGGGUAGUCCUAGCCGUAAACGAUGCGGACUUGGUGUUGGGAUGGCUUUGAGCCGCUCCGGUGCCGAAGGGAAGCUGUUAAGUCCGCCGCCUGGGAAGUACGGUCGCAAGACUGAAACUCAAAGGAAUUGGCGGGG
Molecule: ribosomal RNA, 401 nt
Filed under: uncultured bacterium
Lineage: Bacteria
Description: partial 16S ribosomal RNA
Rfam family: Archaeal small subunit ribosomal RNA
Source: RNAcentral